RNAcentral lists this ribosomal RNA (471 nucleotides) under uncultured bacterium. RNAcentral describes it as "bacterial SSU rRNA". It matches the Rfam family "Bacterial small subunit ribosomal RNA", at positions 33 to 507 of the family's 1533-position model. The record is from RNAcentral.
ACGCUGGCGGCGUGCCUAACACAUGCAAGUCAACUUGAGGGAAGGAGCAAUCUGACCUGAUGGUGCGCAAAGGGUGCGUAAACGCGUAAGACUGCCCAAGGUAGGAAUAACGUCGAGAAAUCGGCGCUAAUGCCUCAUAAUGCAGCGGAUCCGCAUGGAUAUGUUGUUAAAGGUUUACCGCCUUGGGAUAGGCUUGCGUCUGAUUAGCUAGUUGGUGUGGUAAUGGCACACCAAGGCUACGAUCAGUAACUGGUCUGAGAGGAUGAUCAGUCACACUGGAACUGAGACACGGUCCAGACUCCUACGGGAGGCAGCAGUGAGGAAUAUUGGGCAAUGCACGAAAGUGUGACCCAGCAACGCCGCGUGGAGGAUGAAGGUAUUCUAUAUCGUAAACUCCUGUGAGAGCAGACGAAAGACAGAUUAUUAAUUUGGAUGACUGUAUGCUCAGAGGAAGCCCCGGCUAACUACGUG